AGCAGCCGCGGUAAUUCCAGCUCCAAUAGCGUAUAUUAAAGUUGUUGCAGUUAAAAAGCUCGUAGUUGAACUUCAGGCCUGGCUGGGCGGUCCGCCUUCCGGGUGAGUACUGCCUGUGGUCGGGUCCUACCUUCUGGCGAAGCGUCAUGGCCUUAACCGGCCGUGGCGGGGAACCAGGACUUUUACUGUGAAAAAAAUUAGAGUGUUAAAAGCAGGCACGCGCUUGAAUACAUUAGCAUGGAAUAAUGGAAUAGGACAGUGGUUCUAUUUGUUGGUUUCUAGGACCGUUGUAAUGAUUAAUAGGGAUAGUUGGGGGCAUUAGUAUUCAAUUGUCAGAGGUGAAAUUCUUGGAUUUAUUGAAGACUAACUACUGCGAAAGCAUUUGCCAAGGAUGUUUUCAUUAAUCAAGAACGAAAGUUAGGGGAUCGAAGACGAUCAGAUACCGUCGUAGUCUUAACCAUAAACUAUGCCGACUAGGAAUCGGGCGAUGUUGACAAAAUGACGCGCUCGGCACCUCAUG
Molecule: ribosomal RNA, 520 nt
Filed under: uncultured Paraglomus
Lineage: Eukaryota; Fungi; Glomeromycota; Glomeromycetes; Paraglomerales; Paraglomeraceae
Description: SSU rRNA
Rfam family: Eukaryotic small subunit ribosomal RNA
Source: RNAcentral